CCAAGGAGUCUAACAUGUGCGCGAGUCAUGGGGUCGUAAACCCAAGGGCGUAAUGAAAGUAAAGGUCAAUUCGGUUGACCGAGGUGAGAUCCCUGUAAGGGGCGCAUCACUGUCCCAUCGCAUCUACGUGUUAGAGCGGUGGAGAAAAAGCGUACACGUUGGGACCCGAAAGAUGGUGAACUAUGCCUGAGCAGGAUGAAGUCAUCGGAAACGGUGAUGGAGGUCCGUAGCGGUUCUGACGUGCAAAUCGAUCGUCAGACUUGGGUAUAGGGGCGAAAGACUAAUCGAACCAUCUAGUAGCUGGUUCCCUCCGAAGUUUCCCUCAGGAUAGCUGGCACUUAAACGCAGUUUUACCCGGUAAAGCGAAUGAUUAGAGGCCUUGGGGACGAAACGACCUCAACCUAUUCUCAAACUUUAAAUGGGUAAGAAGUCUCGCUUGCCUGACCGAAGCUCAGACUUUGAAUGCGAGUGCCAAGUGGGCCAUUUUU
Molecule: ribosomal RNA, 488 nt
Filed under: Nematoda environmental sample
Lineage: Eukaryota; Metazoa; Nematoda
Description: partial large subunit ribosomal RNA
Rfam family: Eukaryotic large subunit ribosomal RNA
Source: RNAcentral